RNAcentral lists this ribosomal RNA (387 nucleotides) under uncultured bacterium. RNAcentral's name for it is "bacterial SSU rRNA". It matches the Rfam family "Bacterial small subunit ribosomal RNA", at positions 28 to 418 of the family's 1533-position model. The record is from RNAcentral.
GACGAACGCUGGCGGCGUGCUUAACACAUGCAAGUCGAGCGGUAAGGCCCUUUCGGGGGUACACGAGCGGCGAACGGGUGAGUAACACGUGGGUGACCUGCCCUUAGCUCUGGGAUAAGCCUGGGAAACUGGGUCUAAUACCGGAUAUGACUCCAUGACGCAUGUUGUGGGGUGGAAAGCCUUGUGCGGCUAGGGAUGGCCCGCGGCCUAUCAGCUUGUUGGUGGGGUGAUGGCCACCAAGGCGACGACGGGUAGCCGGCCUGAGAGGGCGACCGGCCACACUGGGACUGAGACACGGCCCAGACUCCUACGGGAGGCAGCAGUGGGGAAUCUUGCGCAAUGGGCGAAAGCCUGACGCAGCGACGCCGCGUGAGGGAUGACGGCCUC